This 475-nucleotide ribosomal RNA is filed under the name uncultured organism. Its description in RNAcentral is "partial 16S ribosomal RNA". It matches the Rfam family "Bacterial small subunit ribosomal RNA", at positions 333 to 799 of the family's 1533-position model. The record is from RNAcentral.
ACACUCCUACGGGAGGCAGCAGUGGGGAAUUUUGGACAAUGGGGGCAACCCUGAUCCAGCAAUGCCGCGUGAGUGAAGAAGGCCUUCGGGUUGUAAAGCUCUUUUGUCAGGGAAGAAACGGUGGUGGCGAAUAACUACUACUAAUGACGGUACCUGAAGAAUAAGCACCGGCUAACUACGUGCCAGCAGCCGCGGUAAUACGUAGGGUGCAAGCGUUAAUCGGAAUUACUGGGCGUAAAGCGUGCGCAGGCGGUUGUGUAAGUCAGAUGUGAAAUCCCCGGGCUCAACCUGGGAAUUGCAUUUGAGACUGCACGGCUAGAGUGUGUCAGAGGGGGGUAGAAGUCCACGUGUAGCAGUGAAAUGCGUAGAUAUGUGGAGGAAUACCGAUGGCGAAGGCAGCCCCCUGGGAUAACACUGACGCUCAUGCACGAAAGCGUGGGGAGCAAACAGGAUUAGAUACCCCAGUAGUCCCAUG